Long non-coding RNA from Monodelphis domestica (gray short-tailed opossum), 2163 nucleotides. NCBI's taxonomy places the organism in Eukaryota, Metazoa, Chordata, Mammalia, Didelphimorphia, Didelphidae. The record is from Ensembl.
GGCCUGUCACAGAGAAGCGAUCGCUCCGCUCUGCCCGGAGCCUCUCCUAAUCCCCGAGCUCAAGUAGAUUCCGCUGGCCCGCGGCCUGCGCCCUUCGCCGGGCCUACGCCUCCCCGGCCGCCCGGCAGGAACCAAAUCUCCUCCGCCAAAGUCGGCAGGGAGAGAAGCUCUAAAACCGCCGCCGGCCGAGGCGCCUCCUCCCGGGGAGGACAACUCCACACUCGCUCCGCCGAGGAGACCCGAGGCUGCCGGGGAAGGGAACAGGAGCGGGAGGGGGAGCAGAGGAGCCCGGGACCUGGCCCCGCCGCCGCCGCCGCCGCCGAAAGAAAGAGAAGGAAGGAAUUUACCUGGGCGAAUCGGCGUUUGAAUCCGUGGAGAGGCCGAGGCCGAGGCGGCUGUGAACAAAAUGCCGACCGGAAGUGCAGCUGCAGGAAUGACUCCCUCCACCGGCGCCAAACACCAACAACCUCCCCCUCUCCCCCACUCCACUUCCGCCACUGCCGCCGCCCGCCCGCCAGCCCGCUGCCGCCGCCGCUGCUGCUACUACUACUACUCCAGUCCCCCUGCCCGCUGCCAGUAUCCCUCGUCGCUGCUCGUGCCGCCGCCGCCAGCGCGGCGCAGCUCCUCACCCGAGCCGCAAUUCUAACCUUGGCUGGCGGCUUUGGCGGCAGCAGGAACAGGAUACCCUCCCGUGGCGGCGGCUACGACGACUGCUCCUCCUCCUCCUCUCUUCAGCCUCUACCUCGCUCCCUCCUCUUCCUUCUCCUCCUCCUGCUGCUGCUGUUGCUGUUGCUGCUGCUGCUGCUGCUGCUGCUGCUACUGCCGCCGCCGCCACCACCGCCACCGCCACCGCCACCUCCACCUCCACCACCACCACCACCACCACCACCACCACUACAGCUGCUCUGGGUGGGGUGUGGAUUUUGCCCUUUAUUGUAGCUGUUGCCGAGUGGUAUUUUCGACGGCCUACGACCUGGCCAAGCUACUUUCGCUCUCGUUCUUGUCUUUCUUUUCCUAGGGGAAAGUGAGAAGACCUUAGCUUCGGGCGUCGCUUGGCUUCCUGUGAAGGAGACCAAGGAAGAUUUUGGGGUGGCUUCUUUCCUACCCUCUCCCCAUUUUCCCCGGGAGGGGUUCAAAGCUCCCGGACACUGAAGGCUGAAAAGUAUGAGUAGCGUUCUGUGCUUUCUCUCCAGGCUUAGGGAAUGCUGCUUGCUUGUGGGUGGCCACGUUUUGGACACCCGCAGUUCCAUUGGAUUUUCAGGUGAUGUCCUCGCGGCUAGGUGGAUGGAUGUGCCGUACAACUUUCCUUUUGACACAGCUGACUUGAUGCGUGUAUAGGAGCACAUAUUUUGUUUUGGUGGAAUAAUAGGAUCAUAACACAAGGUGAAGGAAGAUGAAGCACUGGGUACUGAACUACUACUUGGCAUUUUUGCUUUUGAAAAUGCACUUGUCUGUUUUUGUUUUUGUUUUUCCACUACUGGGGGAAUGGGCUUGUGGUCAAUGCUAUACGAGGGACGUACGAAAAUAUACAGAUGCCUAUCUCUCCUUUUUCCAAUCCCAUCUGGAUGUAACUGGACAUUAGUUAGCUCCAUGUGCAUUAAGGUAUUUGUGUGUUACUUUAUACAUCCCUCUCUGGGCUAGAUGGAGCUGUUGUGUCCUGGGGGUGGAGGUGGAGGUGGGGUGGGUGGGUGGAUGCCUUCUAGAGCAGAAGCUGCUGCUGACUGGAGCAUAUAGUGAGGUGUUGCUUCUAUUUUAUGUUGCUAUUGUCCGCAAGACAAUGUCUGUGCUGCAACAGGUUUUAAACUCAGUUUCUGAAGCUAAACCAGAGAAAGAACCUGUACUAGAUAAAAUAAUUAAGUAUUAAUUGGAUUACCCUUUAGAUUUCAUCUUAAGGCAGUAUCCUGUUUCCAGUACUUUUAAACUGUAACAAAUGAAGUAAAAUUCCAACUUGAACAAUCCUCCCUCUUUUUCUCAUCCUGUUUCCUUGAAUGAUAACUUGUUACCAUGCUCUUCUAUUAUUUGUAAAAGGGAGAAAGCCUUUACUUCAGAAGCAGUACAGUAGUAGAAUGAUUAAUUUAAAAUUGAGUAGAAUUUGAAUUGAAACCUUGACAUGUUUUCAGCCGGUUUAAUAAAUUUGGUAACAUGGGUUAAAUUAUUUGCUUG